GAUGAACGCUGGCGGCGUGCCUAAUACAUGCAAGUCGAGCGAACGGACGAGAAGCUUGCUUCUCUGAUGUUAGCAGCGGACGGGUGAGUAACACGUGGAUAACCUACCUAUAAGACUGGGAUAACUUCGGGAAACCGGAGCUAAUACCGGAUAAUAUUUUGAACCGCAUGGUUCAAAAGUGAAAGACGGUCUUGCUGUCACUUAUAGAUGGAUCCGCGCUGCAUUAGCUAGUUGGUAAGGUAACGGCUUACCAAGGCAACGAUGCAUAGCCGACCUGAGAGGGGUAUCGGCCAAAACUGAACCUGGACACGGGCCCAACCCCCAAGGGAGGGAAGCGGAGGGGAUUUUCCGCCAAGGGGCAAAAGCUGGCGGAACAAACGCGGCGUGGGGAUGAAGGGCUUUCGAACGGAAAAACCCUUUAAUUGGGAAAAACAUAUUUGUAAAGUAACGGUCAACACCUGGAGGGUCCUAAAUAAGAAACCCAGGCCUACCACCGU
This 497-nucleotide ribosomal RNA is filed under the name uncultured bacterium. RNAcentral describes it as "partial 16S ribosomal RNA". It matches the Rfam family "Bacterial small subunit ribosomal RNA", at positions 28 to 506 of the family's 1533-position model. The record is from RNAcentral.